GUAGGUGAACCAGCGGAGGGAUCAUUACCGAGUUUACAACUCCCAAACCCAAUGUGAACGUUACCAAACUGUUGCCUCGGCGGGAUCUCUGCCCCGGGUGCGUCGCAGCCCCGGACCAAGGCGCCCGCCGGAGGACCAACCAAAACUCUUAUUGUAUACCCCCUCGCGGGUUUUUUUAUAAUCUGAGCCUUCUCGGCGCCUCUCGUAGGCGUUUCGAAAAUGAAUCAAAACUUUCAACAACGGAUCUCUUGGUUCUGGCAUCGAUGAAGAACGCAGCGAAAUGCGAUAAGUAAUGUGAAUUGCAGAAUUCAGUGAAUCAUCGAAUCUUUGAACGCACAUUGCGCCCGCCAGUAUUCUGGCGGGCAUGCCUGUCCGAGCGUCAUUUCAACCCUCGAACCCCUCCGGGGGGUCGGCGUUGGGGAUCGGCCCUCCCUUAGCGGGUGGCCGUCUCCGAAAUACAGUGGCGGUCUCGCCGCAGCCUCUCCUGCGCAGUAGUUUGCACACUCGCAUCGGGAGCGCGGCGCGUCCACAGCCGUUAAACACCCAACUUCUGAAAUGUUGACCUCGGAUCAGGUAGGAAUACCCGCUGAACUUAAGCAUAUCAAUAAGCGGAGGAAAAGAAACCAACAGGGAUUGCCCCAGUAACUGC
Molecule: ribosomal RNA, 649 nt
Filed under: Trichoderma sp. BAB-3273
Lineage: Eukaryota; Fungi; Ascomycota; Sordariomycetes; Hypocreales; Hypocreaceae
Description: eukaryotic LSU rRNA
Rfam family: 5.8S ribosomal RNA (bases 229-382)
Source: RNAcentral